GAUGAAGAACGUAGCGAAAUGCGAUAAGUAAUGUGAAUUGCAGAAUUCAGUGAAUCAUCGAAUCUUUGAACGCACCUUGCGCCCUUUGGCCAUUCCGAAGGGCUUGCCUGUUUGAGUAUCAUGAACACCUCAACUCUUUAUGGUUUUCCAUGAUGAGCUUGGACUCUGGGGGUUUUGCUGGCUCACAGUCGGCUCCUCUAAAAUGAAUCAGCUUACCAGUGUUUGGUGGGUAUCAUGGGUGUGAUAACUAUCUACGCUUGUGGUUUUUCCACCAGGUAACCUUCAGCAGUGGAGGUUCGCUGGAGCUCAUAGAUGUCUCUCCUCAGUGAGGACAGCCCUUUGAAUGUUUGAUCUCAAAUCAGGUAGGACUACCCGCUGAACUUAAGCAUAUCAAUAAGCGGAGGA
Molecule: unclassified non-coding RNA, 405 nt
Filed under: soil metagenome
Description: partial contains 5.8S ribosomal RNA, internal transcribed spacer 2, and large subunit ribosomal RNA
Rfam family: 5.8S ribosomal RNA (bases 1-121)
Source: RNAcentral